UACAGAGGUCUCAAGCGUUGUUCGGAAUCACUGGGCGUAAAGGGUGCGUAGGCCGCACGGUAAGUCAGAGGUGAAAUCCCGGAGCUCAACUUCGGAAUUGCCUCCGAUACUGCCGUGCUUGAGGACUGGAGAGGAGAUUGGAAUUCACAGUGGAGCAGUGAAAUGCGUAGAUAUUGUGAGGAACACUAGUGGCGAAGGCGAAUCUCUGGACAGUUCCUGACGCUGAGGCACGAAGGCCAGGGGAGCAAACAGG
RNAcentral lists this ribosomal RNA (253 nucleotides) under uncultured bacterium. RNAcentral describes it as "partial 16S ribosomal RNA". It matches the Rfam family "Bacterial small subunit ribosomal RNA", at positions 524 to 776 of the family's 1533-position model. The record is from RNAcentral.